This 1061-nucleotide ribosomal RNA is filed under the name Neopestalotiopsis sp. RNAcentral describes it as "partial large subunit ribosomal RNA". It matches the Rfam family "Eukaryotic large subunit ribosomal RNA", at positions 74 to 1175 of the family's 3401-position model. Lineage: Eukaryota; Fungi; Ascomycota; Sordariomycetes; Amphisphaeriales; Sporocadaceae. The record is from RNAcentral.
AUUGCCUUAGUAACGGCGAGUGAAGCGGCAACAGCUCAAAUUUGAAAUCUGGCCCUUGGGUCCGAAUUGUAAUUUGUAGAGGAUGAUUUUGGUGCGGUAUCUUCCGAGUUCCUUGGAACAGGACGCCUUAGAGGGUGAGAGCCCCGUACGGUUGAAUGCCUAGCCUCUGUAAAUCUCCUUCGACGAGUCGAGUAGUUUGGGAAUGCUGCUCUAAAUGGGAGGUAAAUUUCUUCUAAAGCUAAAUAUUGGCCAGAGACCGAUAGCGCACAAGUAGAGUGAUCGAAAGAUGAAAAGCACUUUGAAAAGAGGGUUAAAUAGCACGUGAAAUUGUUGAAAGGGAAGGAUUUGUGACCAGACUUUUUCUGGGCGGAUCAUCCGGGGUUCUCUCCGGUGCACUUCGCCCAGUAAAGGCCAGCAUCGGUUUUCGGCGUGGGAUAAAAGCAGUAGGAAUGUGGCUCUCUACGGGGAGUGUUAUAGCCUAUUGUAUAAUACCGCGCUGGGGACCGAGGUUCGCGCUUCUGCAAGGAUGCUGGCGUAAUGGUUAUCAAUCACCCGUCUUGAAACACGGACCAAGGAGUCGAACAUUUGUGCGAGUGUUUGGGUGUUAAACCCUCACGCGUAAUGAAAGUGAACGGAGGUGAGAGCCCUUACGGGUGCAUCAUCGACCGAUCCUGAAGUUUUCGGAUGGAUUUGAGUAAGAGCAUAACUGUUCGGACCCGAAAGAUGGUGAACUAUGCGUGGAUACGGUGAAGCCAGAGGAAACUCUGGUGGAGGCUCGCAGCGGUUCUGACGUGCAAAUCGAUCGUCAAAUCUGCGCAUGGGGGCGAAAGACUAAUCGAACCAUCUAGUAGCUGGUUACCGCCCAAUUUUCCCUCAUGAUAGCAGUGUUGUCUUCAGUUUAUGAGGUAAAGCGAAUGAUUAGGGACUCGCGGCGCUGUUUAGCCUUCAUCCUUCUCAACUUUAAUAUGUAUAAACCCUUGUACUUAUUGAACGUGGCAUUCCAAUGGACACACUAUUGGGCCAUUUUUGGUAGCAGACUGCCAUGCGGAUGAACCAAUCCG